Long non-coding RNA from Suricata suricatta (meerkat), 267 nucleotides. RefSeq lists it as uncharacterized. Lineage: Eukaryota; Metazoa; Chordata; Mammalia; Carnivora; Herpestidae. The record is from RefSeq and is a predicted model, not a curated record. The transcript has 3 exons.
AGGAAAAUUCCUGGAGUUAUUCAACCCAUUGUUUCUGGGAACACAUAAGUGAAAGAACAUGUCUAAGGUAAACUAACGAGAGCUAGAUCAUUUGGACAGUAUGCGGAUUGGUCCACUUUAUUGAUGAUAUCUUGUUAAUUAGAACUGAUGAGCAAAAAGUGCUUCCUCCCCACUUCCCCACAACUUUUGCAAUGAGAGCCAUUACACUGAUACAAUGACUAAUAAGUAGCUGGAAUGAAAGAAGAAAUGAGAUCAUCGCCCUACCUU